RNAcentral lists this transfer RNA (68 nucleotides) under Sepietta neglecta. RNAcentral's name for it is "tRNA-Phe". The record is from RNAcentral. Lineage: Eukaryota; Metazoa; Mollusca; Cephalopoda; Sepiida; Sepiolidae.
AUUUAAAUAGCUUAAAUAUAGAGCAUAACGUUGAAGGUGUUAAGGUGAUUAUUGUGAAUCUUUAGAUA